UACGAAGGGGGCUAGCGUUGUUCGGAAUUACUGGGCGUAAAGCGCACGUAGGCGGACUCUUAAGUCAGGGGUGAAAUCCCGGGGCGCAACCUCGGAACUGCCUUUGAUACUGUGAGUCUCGAGACCGGAAGAGGUGAGUGGAAUUCCUAGUGUAGAGGUGAAAUUCGUAGAUAUUAGGAAGAACACCAGUGGCGAAGGCGGCUCACUGGUCCGGUUCUGACGCUGAGGUGCGAAAGCGUGGUGCGCAAACAGG
RNAcentral lists this ribosomal RNA (253 nucleotides) under uncultured bacterium. RNAcentral's name for it is "partial 16S ribosomal RNA". It matches the Rfam family "Bacterial small subunit ribosomal RNA", at positions 524 to 776 of the family's 1533-position model. The record is from RNAcentral.